AUAAUAAUUUGUUUUUUAAAUAAAAACUAGUAUGAAUGGCUUCACAUUUUCUAACUGUCUCUCUUUAUUCUCUUUUAAAUUUCUACUUCCGUGAAGAAGCGGAAAUAAUUAUAUAAGACGAGAAGACCCUGUCGAGCUUUAGCCAAUUUAAAAUAAAUAUUAUUAAAAAGGCUUUGGUUGGGGCAACCAUGGAGAAAAUUUAUCCUCCAGAAAUUAAAGAUGAAUUAUUAUUCUCUUAAUCUAAUUUUGAACCAAUUUAUUUUGGUAAUCAGAAAUAGUUACCGCAGGGAUAACAGCGUAAUCUUCUUUAAGAGCCCAUAUUGACA
This 326-nucleotide ribosomal RNA is filed under the name Peniagone sp. PE15_A. RNAcentral's name for it is "partial 16S ribosomal RNA". It matches the Rfam family "Archaeal large subunit ribosomal RNA", at positions 2038 to 2579 of the family's 2987-position model. Lineage: Eukaryota; Metazoa; Echinodermata; Holothuroidea; Elasipodida; Elpidiidae. The record is from RNAcentral.